AAGUCGUAACAAGGUUUCUGUAGUGAUCCUUCUUUGAAGCCUUCUGCACAACGACUAUAACCAUGUGCACAGUCUGCUCCUGAUGGCAGGCGACGUCACUUGCUUGCUGGAACCCAGUUUAUGAGAACCAGCAGCCGCGACCUAUAUAUACAGAUAGUUUCGGUCCACAGAUUAGGCGGUGACGGUCAGCAUAGCAUCCAUUUGGCAUUUAGAGAAUUUUUACGGUGUUCUGUGUCAACUGGCAGGCGCUGAUUAAGAUAUAAUCGGUUUCUAUUGCCUCCAAAUAGCUUUUAAAACGUUCCGUAGGUGAACCUGCGGAAGGAUCAUUA
This 329-nucleotide ribosomal RNA is filed under the name Endocarpon adscendens. Its description in RNAcentral is "partial small subunit ribosomal RNA". The record is from RNAcentral. Lineage: Eukaryota; Fungi; Ascomycota; Eurotiomycetes; Verrucariales; Verrucariaceae.